GUUGAUGUACAUGAUGACAGAACUUUUUUCCCCAUCAGAUCGACUCUGGUGACUUGUGAUGCUGAUUUGCCAGUACUGUCUGAUACUUCCAC
Small nucleolar RNA from Hyla sarda, 92 nucleotides. RefSeq annotates it as small nucleolar SNORD12/SNORD106. NCBI's taxonomy places the organism in Eukaryota, Metazoa, Chordata, Amphibia, Anura, Hylidae. The record is from RefSeq and is a predicted model, not a curated record. The transcript has a single exon.